UUUUUUUUUGUCAAUUUUUUUUUCUUUUU
This 29-nucleotide unclassified non-coding RNA is filed under the name Trypanosoma rangeli. Lineage: Eukaryota; Euglenozoa; Kinetoplastea; Trypanosomatida; Trypanosomatidae. The record is from RNAcentral.